RNAcentral lists this ribosomal RNA (799 nucleotides) under uncultured bacterium. Its description in RNAcentral is "bacterial SSU rRNA". It matches the Rfam family "Bacterial small subunit ribosomal RNA", at positions 8 to 794 of the family's 1533-position model. The record is from RNAcentral.
AGAGUUUGAUCAUGGCUCAGAUUGAACGCUGGCGGCAUGCUUUACACAUGCAAGUCGAACGGUAACAUGAAGAAAGCUUGCUUUCUUUGAUGACGAGUGGCGAACGGGUGAGUAAUACAUCGGAACGUACCCUGUAGUGGGGGAUAACUACUCGAAAGAGUGGCUAAUACCGCAUACAACCUGAGGGUAAAAGUGGGGGACCGCAAGGCCUCACGCUAUAGGAGCGGCCGAUGGAAGAUUAGCUAGUUGGUAGGGUAAAGGCCUACCAAGGCGACGAUCUUUAGCGGGUCUGAGAGGACGAUCCGCCACACUGGGACUGAGACACGGCCCAGACUCCUACGGGAGGCAGCAGUGGGGAAUUUUGGACAAUGGGGGCAACCCUGAUCCAGCAAUGCCGCGUGAGUGAAGAAGGCCUUCGGGUUGUAAAGCUCUUUUGUUUGGGAAGAAAUCCUUAGUGAUAAUACCGCUGGGGGAUGACGGUACCAAAAGAAUAAGCACCGGCUAACUACGUGCCAGCAGCCGCGGUAAUACGUAGGGUGCAAGCGUUAAUCGGAAUUACUGGGCGUAAAGCGUGCGCAGGCGGUUUUGUAAGACAGGUGUGAAAUCCCCGAGCUCAACUUGGGAACUGCACUUGUGACUGCAAGACUAGAGUGUGUCAGAGGGAGGUAGAAUUCCACGUGUAGCAGUGAAAUGCGUAGAGAUGUGGAGGAAUACCGGUGGCGAAGGCGGCCUCCUGGGAUAACACUGACGCUCAUGUACGAAAGCGUGGGGAGCAAACAGGAUUAGAUACCCCGGUAGU